Mastomys coucha (southern multimammate mouse) is the source of this 541-nucleotide long non-coding RNA. RefSeq lists it as uncharacterized. The transcript has 2 exons. NCBI's taxonomy places the organism in Eukaryota, Metazoa, Chordata, Mammalia, Rodentia, Muridae. The record is from RefSeq and is a predicted model, not a curated record.
UUAGUCCAUGGUGAUCUGACAGGAUGAAAGGAAUUAUUUCAAUCUUCUUGUGUCUGUUGAUGUCUGAUUUAUGACCAAUAUUAUGGCCAAUUUUGGAGAAGGUAUCAUGAGAUGCUGAGAAGAAGGCAAAAGCUGAAGGAUAAACAAGACACACCUGGGGCAAACCCAGAAGGACUUCAGCGCAGCAUACCUGCUUAGCUCUCUUUACUUACAUACCCUGUAUUCCUGCUGACUACAGUUUUACUAAUCCUCUGACCUCAUAAAGCCUACCAGGGGCUGGCAUGCAUGAGCUCUGUGAAAUCAGAUAUGCCAUAUUGUUUAGCAUCUGUUCUGAACUCCCUGUGAAGUCCUCUUUGAAGGUAGCAUAGGGCUGUCAGCUUCAAUGGCUUAGUAGUGAAAUCCAGCAGGAAGAUUAAAGCUUAUUCUAUGCUUACUUUUCAUAUACACAUACCUGUAUAUGGAGCACUUGGAUCUACAAUUUAGAGGUCUAAUUACGAUACACUUGCCUUUCCAAAACAGAAAUAUAUCUAAAUUUUCCCCA